This 379-nucleotide long non-coding RNA is filed under the name Elaeis guineensis (African oil palm). Its description in RNAcentral is "long non-coding RNA (EGUI_LNC019230)". The record is from RNAcentral. Lineage: Eukaryota; Viridiplantae; Streptophyta; Magnoliopsida; Arecales; Arecaceae.
GAUGGGUGGCACCCCUCAAGAGGGAGUUAUUGAUCCUAUUGGAACUGCUCCAACAGUACGUCAAGAACCGAAUAUGGCCUAAUUGAUGCAAACCAUAAUAGAAGUGAUACAAAGGCAGCAACAAUUGCUUGAACAGCAACAGAUACCCCAAGAUACACCACAACAGCAUGGUCAUAGAAAGCAGCCAGUGCAGUGAAACAACAUCGUAGAAUUUAAAAAAAUAGCCCUUCCUGCUUUCAAGGGAACCAUUGAAUCUUUAGAAGCCGUCAACUGGAUAAGAGAGAUAGAAAAGGCCUUUGCUGUCCAAGAGUGUCGUGACGAAGAAAAGAUUAGAUAUGCUGCUUAUUUAUUACAAUGUGAGACGUUUAAUUGGUACCAA